This 274-nucleotide ribosomal RNA is filed under the name uncultured bacterium. RNAcentral describes it as "partial 16S ribosomal RNA". It matches the Rfam family "Bacterial small subunit ribosomal RNA", at positions 523 to 796 of the family's 1533-position model. The record is from RNAcentral.
ACACAGAGGGUGCAAACGUUGUUCGGAAUUACUGGGCAUAAAGCGCACGUAGGCGGCUUGGUAAGUGUGAAGUGAAAUCCCACGGCUCACCCGUGGAACUGCUUUGCAUACUGCCUGGCUCGAGGACGGUAGGGGAGAGCAGAACUCCUGGAGGGGCGGUGAAAUGCGUAGAUAUCAGGAGGAAUACCAGUGGCGAAGGCGGCUCUCUGGUCCGUUUCUGACGCUGAGGUGCGAAAGCCAGGGUAGCGAACGGGAUUAGAUACCCGGGUAGUCC